GAGAGCGCAGACACAGCAGCGGCCGUUGGAGGAAUUUUUAUAUUUCCCCCUUCACGGCGCUGGAGGGAAAGGGCGGAAUGGAACAUGUGGGAGCCAUCAACGUCCACCCCCGAGUCAUGGGGCAGCCCCUCCCCACGGCAUCGCCCCCCCACCCGGCACUACACAGCGGGACACCCCCGGAGCAGGAGCUUCUGGAGGGGCUGCGGUGCACCACGAGGACCCAUCCAAGCUUUGCUACGUGUCACAUCACCUCUGCACAGCAGGAGGAGAUAGCGGGGGAAACUGAGGCACGUGGGCAGCGAGGCUGCAGCCCCGGGAACACAAGGGUAGAUAGCUGUGCCAUGCACACGGGCACACAGGUGUGCGUGCACACGUGGGCUCACACGUGCAGCCGGGUGCGGAUUGCUGCUGCUCACACCGACCACCGCCCACCCACAGCAGCACCGACGGAGGGCAGGACGGGGGGUUAUGGAGGAAGGCAAAAAGCAGCCCAAACAUCCUUUGGUGACAGCCAGGAAUGGGCUGAGCCCUCCGCCCCGCAGCCCCAGGGGAGGGCAUGGAGCAGCACAUGGAGCGAUGCAGAGACCCCACAGUGUCCCACAGCAGCACGAUGGGGGGCGGGGGGUGGGGGGGGGUAGCAGUGCUCUGCCACCCCCUGCCCCACAGACUGCAGGCAGAGCUGCUGUGGAUCUGAGCCUCUGGAGAAGCUCCAUCCAUCCGCUCCCUCCUCCCUUCCCCCCUAUUGCCCCGCACCAAACCCACAGUGCGGUCACUUCCACCUCUCCACACUUCACGUGUGCCAUUGCCCCACACCGACUGCUGCCCCACAUCCCUCAGCCCCACAUCCCGGCUCAGGACCUCCUGCUUUCCGCCCCCCACCCCCCCCCACCCCACAGUGUGUGCACGGCCCGACGUUGGGCACUUCAGCACAGGGGGCACAGUUGUAGGGAAGAACACUUCCUGAGCAUCCCCAAGCAUUGGGGCACCACGUGGGCGGCAUCCUCAGGCCCGGACCCCCAAGUGGGACCGAUGGGAGCCACGUCCCGAACCCAGCGCUCCUGGGGGGGCAGAAGGGAGGCAGCAGUGGGGGCACCGCAGGCAUUGGGGCCGUUGCCAGCGGCUGCUCGGAGUGAUGGGGGGUUCGGGGGUACCCCCGUUCAAUGCGCCCCUAAAAGGGCAGGCAGCCCCCAGGCUGAGUGCUCCAUGAUGUGGGUGGGGGAGCAGCUCUGCCCUUCCACACAACUGGAGGGGGGGGGGCCGGCACAGAGGUUUCUAUGGCCCCGCUGUGUUCUGCACUGGAGAGGGG
This 1306-nucleotide long non-coding RNA is filed under the name Gallus gallus (chicken). RNAcentral describes it as "lncRNA (ENSGALG00010025853.1)". Lineage: Eukaryota; Metazoa; Chordata; Aves; Galliformes; Phasianidae. The record is from RNAcentral.